This 349-nucleotide long non-coding RNA is filed under the name Melopsittacus undulatus (budgerigar). Its description in RNAcentral is "lncRNA (ENSMUNG00000014067.2)". The record is from RNAcentral. Lineage: Eukaryota; Metazoa; Chordata; Aves; Psittaciformes; Psittaculidae.
CCUCUCCCAGUGCGUUUGUGUGAAGAAAACGCUGUCGAGGGUGAGGUUGUUGAGCUGAAUCAAGUCACAGAGGGGUCUAAUGAGUGCCAGAGCCUCUGAGAAGAAAAGAAUGGAAGCAGAAUCUUCUUAUUUCACUUGCAGCAAGCCUUCAGAUUGCGUCACAGCUUUCAGGUCACCAAGACGAAUGCAAAGAGGAUCACUGUGUGUGUGACUGCCAGUGACUGAAGAGUGCAUGCCCAAGACAACCUCAGCUGCAAAACCUCUUGGAAAGCACAGCAUUUCAGAAAGGUCCUGAGGAAGGAUAUGACAAGGUUCUGCAAGAUGUGAUGUCUGGUAGGUGGCCUGUUUC